This 549-nucleotide ribosomal RNA is filed under the name uncultured ammonia-oxidizing bacterium. RNAcentral describes it as "bacterial SSU rRNA". It matches the Rfam family "Bacterial small subunit ribosomal RNA", at positions 198 to 733 of the family's 1533-position model. The record is from RNAcentral.
GGAGGAAAGUAGGGGAUCGAAAGACCUUGCGCUAAAGGAGCGGCCGAUGUCUGAUUAGCUAGUUGGUGGGGAAAGGCUUACCAAGGCAACGAUUAGUAGUUGGUCUGAGAGGACGACCAACCACACUGGGACUGAGACACGGCCCAGACUCUACGGGAGGCAGCAGUGGGGAAUUUUGGACAAUGGGCGAAAGCCUGAUCCAGCCAUGCCGCGUGAGUGAAGAAGGCUUCGGGUUAAAGCUCUUUUAGUCGGAAAGAAAGAAUUAUGACGAAUAAUCAUGAUUUAUGACGGUACCGACAGAAAAAGCACCGGCUAACUACGUGCCAGCAGCCGCGGUAAUACGUAGGGUGCGAGCGUUAAUCGGAAUUACUGGGCGUAAAGGGUGCGCAGGCGGUUUUGUAAGUCAGAUGUGAAAGCCCCGGGCUUAACCUGGGAAUUGCGUUUGAAACUGCAAGGCUAGAGUGCAGCAGAGGGGAGUGGAAUUCCAUGUGUAGCAGUGAAAUGCGUAGAGAUGUGGAAGAACACCGAUGGCGAAGGCAGCUCCCUGGG